RNAcentral lists this transfer RNA (66 nucleotides) under Onthophagus rorarius. Its description in RNAcentral is "tRNA-Tyr". Lineage: Eukaryota; Metazoa; Arthropoda; Insecta; Coleoptera; Scarabaeidae. The record is from RNAcentral.
AGUAAAAUGGCUGAGGAUAAGCGAUAAAUUGUAAAUUUAUUAACGAAAAAAAUUUUUCUUUUACUA